AUUCGCAAUAUUUCGACAUUUUUCUCUCAAUUGUAAUAGUGGCAUGACGUGUAACGACACUCCUGAAGAUCUUGGGCUACGUCGAGGCUGGGAUCGAGAGUCCACAAUUGCAACGUGAACAUCAGCAGAAAUCGAGAGAGGCCGGCUUCUUUAUAGAGAUCAAUAAAUAAUCGGCCGUGCGCCUUGUGCGUAGUGCGGCUUAUCAAACGCGGUUCGUGUAUUAUAUUGCGUUACUCUUGGUAUAAGCAAGCACGUAGAACAUAAUAUCGUCGGACCCGGCAUUAUUGCAUGUGCAUCGCUCAUCGCGAAAACGAUGAUAUAACCCAUGUUGCUGCGGUUAGAACGAUCGAGCCGGAACCGGCGCUCAGCGAUAAUUUACCGAUAAUUUAAUCCUGUUGUUCAACUUAAAAAGAAUCGCGACAACGAGAGACAGAGAAAAAUAAAUAUAUUUUUCAUUCUUUGGAGGUAGCACAUAUAUAUCGACAAAGAACAAAGACUAAUAGAAAUGUAAUAAUAAUAAAUAUAUAUGUAUAAUAAAGAUAAUAUAAAUUGGAAGAGAUAAAAAUGUAUAUGUAAUCUUAUUAAAUAAUUUUUCUCUGAAAGAAUUAAACAUCCGCGCACGUAUAUUUAUAAUAUCUAAUAAAAAGUUUCAAGUUUUCUUUGUUUUCUUAUGCAAUACACGAAAACGUAAUUUCAGUAUAAUACAUAAAUAUUGUGCAUUUCGAUUAAAAUCCAGGUAAUUUAAAUUUACUUUCUUUUUUCAUUAAAACAUUGGAAAGCCAAGAGUUAAUAAAUCUCUUUCAAUAAAAGUUUAAAUAUUACGAUGUUCUUAUGGAAAAUGGUUUUUAUUAAGAAAAUUAAAAAAAUAAAAAAGGAGAUAACUUUAAUAGAGAUAUUAAAAUUACUUGACACACCCACACACAAAGAGACAUCUGGAACGGCUUUUAAAAAAUAAUUGUCUAAAUGAAUUGCGCGAAAUACAAAAUAGAAAAUGUUUCGCAAUUAUUAAUAUCUACAAUAAUUUUCUUCUUAUCAUUCGUCACAUUAUUUAUUGAUAUGGACUAAAGUUUUGUGCAAUAUUUAUAGUGAAUAACGGGAAGUUGUAACAACGCUCAUAAAAUACCACAUCCGGUUCACAAAAAGCGAAAAGUGUACUCUAAAAAAAAAAAAA
Long non-coding RNA from Monomorium pharaonis (pharaoh ant), 1171 nucleotides. RefSeq lists it as uncharacterized. The record is from RefSeq and is a predicted model, not a curated record. Lineage: Eukaryota; Metazoa; Arthropoda; Insecta; Hymenoptera; Formicidae. The transcript has 2 exons.